CCGUGCAGCCGGGGCGUUAGCGGUGUCCUGUACCUACAAUCCGCUUUAGUAGGGGUGAUGUUCUGUCGCGGGCUUUUAUUUGGUAUAGCUGCCCUUUAUAAGUGGCGUUGAAGUUUGGGUCUUACGCAAUGGGAAUCUGCGAACCGUGUCAGGUUGGGAACAAAGCAGCACUAAGCGGAAUCUUCCAUGUGCCGUAAGGGUGCCUGGCGGAGUUAACUGUAAAGGUAACGUAUAUUGAUGCGGCUCAAUACAGAACGCACGG
Molecule: non-coding RNA, 262 nt
Organism: Lachnospiraceae bacterium 28-4
Lineage: Bacteria; Bacillati; Bacillota; Clostridia; Lachnospirales; Lachnospiraceae
Rfam family: Bacterial large signal recognition particle RNA
About the family: The signal recognition particle (SRP) is a universally conserved ribonucleoprotein involved in the co-translational targeting of proteins to membranes. Archaeal SRP consists of a 7S RNA and homologues of the eukaryotic SRP19 and SRP54 proteins. In most bacteria, the SRP consists of a 4.5S RNA and the Ffh protein (a homologue of the eukaryotic SRP54 protein).
Source: Rfam